AUACAGAGGGUGCAAGCGUUAAUCGGAUUUACUGGGCGUAAAGCGCGCGUAGGUGGCUAAUUAAGUCAAAUGUGAAAUCCCCGAGCUUAACUUGGGAAUUGCAUUCGAUACUGGUUAGCUAGAGUAUGGGAGAGGAUGGUAGAAUUCCAGGUGUAGCGGUGAAAUGCGUAGAGAUCUGGAGGAAUACCAAUGGCGAAGGCAGCCAUCUGGCCUAAUACUGACACUGAGGUGCGAAAGCAUGGGGAGCAAACAGGAUUAGAUACCCUGGUAGUCCAUGCCGUAAACGAUGUCUACUAGCCGUUGGGGCCCUUGAGGCUUUAGUGGCGCAGCUAACGCGAUAAGUAGACCGCCUGGGGAGUACGGUCGCAAGACUAAAACUCAAAUGAAUUGGCGGGG
RNAcentral lists this ribosomal RNA (396 nucleotides) under uncultured bacterium. RNAcentral describes it as "partial 16S ribosomal RNA". It matches the Rfam family "Bacterial small subunit ribosomal RNA", at positions 523 to 918 of the family's 1533-position model. The record is from RNAcentral.